This 548-nucleotide ribosomal RNA is filed under the name uncultured Glomeromycotina. RNAcentral's name for it is "SSU rRNA". It matches the Rfam family "Eukaryotic small subunit ribosomal RNA", at positions 548 to 1097 of the family's 1831-position model. The record is from RNAcentral. Lineage: Eukaryota; Fungi; Glomeromycota.
UUGGAGGGCAAGUCUGGUGCCAGCAGCCGCGGUAAUUCCAGCUCCAAUAGCGUAUAUUAAAGUUGUUGCAGUUAAAAAGCUCGUAGUUGAAUUUCGGGGUUAGUAGGUUGGUCGUGCCACUGGUAUGCACUGGUCUCACUGAUUCCUCCUUCCUGAUGAACCGUAAUGCCAUUAAUUUGGUGUUGCGGGGAAUCUGGACUGUUACUUUGAAAAAAUUAGAGUGUUUAAAGCAGGCUAACGCUUGAAUACAUUAGCAUGGAAUAAUGAAAUAGGACGAUCGAUCCUAUUUUGUUGGUUUCUAGGAUUGACGUAAUGAUUAAUAGGGAUAGUUGGGGGCAUUAGUAUUCAAUUGUCAGAGGUGAAAUUCUUGGAUUUAUUGAAGACUAACUACUGCGAAAGCAUUUGCCAAGGAUGUUUUCAUUAAUCAAGAACGAAAGUUAGGGGAUCGAAGACGAUCAGAUACCGUCGUAGUCUUAACCAUAAACUAUGCCGACUAGGGAUCGGAUGAUGUUAAUUUUUUAAUGACUCAUUCGGCGCCUUACGGGAAA